Molecule: long non-coding RNA, 801 nt
Filed under: Aquilegia coerulea
Lineage: Eukaryota; Viridiplantae; Streptophyta; Magnoliopsida; Ranunculales; Ranunculaceae
Description: long non-coding RNA (ACOE_LNC001218)
Source: RNAcentral
GUUAACAUAUAGUUACUGCUACCAUGCACAGAAGAACAGAUCAUCUCAGUUCAUUCAUUGAACAGAAUGUAUAUGCUCAAAUGUUGCUUCACAUUGACAUAAACAUAAUAACAACAAUUCUACUUUUAAUAUCCGGGUCAGAACUGUUGCUGUUUUCCGAACCAUGCACAACAAAAACAAUCCAAAAAUUCUUGACAGGAUUCCCGGUACCCAGUAAUAUGAGAAGUUCCAUACUAAAUAAUCUCUGCUUCAAACAUGUCUAUGUAAACCUACUGCCUUCAUAAUAAAAAAUUUUCUUCCUUUUCAACUGCAUAUUUCAGAUAAAAAAAAAUCUGAUGGAGUUAUAACAUUAUGAUUCAUACGAGAACUCACCAAGGAGCUGCAACCAAGGUAGCAAAGUUAAAUCUUGCUUCCAGAAUGCUUUCUUUGAAUUUAUCUGAAGUCCUUUGUAAUUCAGCUACUUUGAAGGCUUCCAUCUCUUUCUUCUCCUUGAGCAUUUGGAUGUCCUUGUCCAACAGCGCAAUUAUGCUGUUCAUAGCUUUCUUUGAUUUGUAGCAAUUUAACCAAUUGAGUUCGUAUUGGAUAGCUUUCUUUGAUUUGUAGCAAUUUAACCAAUUGAGUUCGUAUUGGCUCAACGGUGAAACCAUAUCCUUCUAUAAUUUGUUGCGUGUAACUUCAACCAACUUUGCAAAACUCAACAUGAGCCCUAUGGCAGCCCCUUCACGGAGAUACUCAUCCAAAACUCAACAUGAGCCCUAUGGCAGCCCCUUCACGGAGAUACUCAUCCUGUUCCUUCAGGGG